UACAGAGGUGGCAAGCGUUGUUCGGAAUUACUGGGCGUAAAGGGCGCGUAGGCGGUCUUCUAAGUUCCGUGUGAAAUCCCUCGGCUCAACUGGGGAACUGCACGGAAAACUGGAAGGCUUGAGUUCGGGAGAGGGAAGCGGAAUUCCGGGUGUAGCGGUGAAAUGCGUAGAUAUCCGGAGGAACACCGGUGGCGAAGGCGGCUUCCUGCACCGACACUGACGCUGAGGCGCGAAAGCUAGGGGAGCAAACGGG
Molecule: ribosomal RNA, 253 nt
Filed under: uncultured bacterium
Lineage: Bacteria
Description: partial 16S ribosomal RNA
Rfam family: Bacterial small subunit ribosomal RNA
Source: RNAcentral